CCUACGGGAGGCAGCAGUGGGGAAUAUUGGACAAUGGGCGCAAGCCUGAUCCAGCCAUACCGCGUGUGUGAAGAAGGCCUUUUGGUUGUAAAGCACUUUAAGCGAGGAGGAGGGCACUUUGGCUAAUACCCGAAUGUGUCGGACGUUACUCGCAGAAUAAGCACCGGCUAACUCUGUGCCAGCAGCCGCGGUAAUACAGAGGGUGCGAGCGUUAAUCGGAAUUACUGGGCGUAAAGCGCGCGUAGGCGGCUUGUUAAGUCGGAUGUGAAAUCCCCGGGCUCAACCUGGGCACUGCAUUCGAUACUGGCAAGCUAGAGUAUGGGAGAGGAAGGUAGAAUUCCAGGUGUAGCGGUGAAAUGCGUAGAGAUCUGGAGGAAUACCGAUGGCGAAGGCAGCCUUCUGGCCUAAUACUGACGCUGAGGUGCGAAAGCAUGGGGAGCAAACAGGAUUAGAUACCCUGGUAGUCCAGUCGAACCGUAANAGNUACAAGUCNCGUUGGGGAACUGAAGUUUCCUAGUUGGGCGUAGCGGAACGUUACGGAGUAAGUUAAAGUUCCCGAACCCGUCGGGUAGGGGUAACGUUACGGCCGAGAAAGCGUAAAAACCGUUCAAAAAGGUUAGUAAGUUACGGGACCGGUUACGAGGAGGACGGACGGACCGGACGGACGACCGACGGGAGGGUUAGGAGG
RNAcentral lists this ribosomal RNA (688 nucleotides) under uncultured bacterium. RNAcentral describes it as "bacterial SSU rRNA". The stretch from base 1 to 497 matches the Rfam family "Bacterial small subunit ribosomal RNA", at positions 338 to 873 of the family's 1533-position model. The record is from RNAcentral.